RNAcentral lists this ribosomal RNA (442 nucleotides) under uncultured bacterium. RNAcentral describes it as "partial 16S ribosomal RNA". It matches the Rfam family "Bacterial small subunit ribosomal RNA", at positions 338 to 795 of the family's 1533-position model. The record is from RNAcentral.
CCUACGGGGGGCAGCAGUGGGGGAUAUUGCACAAUGGGGGAAACCCUGAUGCAGCGACGCCGCGUGGGCGAAGAAGUAUUUCGGUAUGUAAAGCCCUAUCAGCAGGGAAGAAGAAAUGACGGUACCUGAGUAAGAAGCACCGGCUAAAUACGUGCCAGCAGCCGCGGUAAUACGUAUGGUGCAAGCGUUAUCCGGAUUUACUGGGUGUAAAGGGAGCGCAGGCGGCACGGCAAGCCUGAUGUGAAAGCCCGCGGCCCAACCGCGGGACUGCAUUGGGAACUACCGGGCUGGAGUGCCGGAGAGGUAGGCGGAAUGCCUAGUGUAGCGGUGAAAUGCGUAGAUAUUAGGAGGAACACCAGUGGCGAAGGCGGCUUACUGGACGGUGACUGACGCUGAGGCUCGAAAGCGUGGGGAGCAAACAGGAUUAGAUACCCCUGUAGUC